GUCUCCCCAUGCGUCUCUGCAUCUCUGUCUCAUUCUCUCUGACUGUCUCUUUGGAUCUCUGUCUCCAUUUCUGUUUCUCUCUCCAUCUUUCUGUCUCUGCUUCUGUUUCUCUCCCCAUCUUUCUGUCUUGUUUCUGUUUCUCACUCCAUCUUUCUGUCUUCAUUUCUGUUUCUCUCCUCUCCUCUCCCAUGUUUAUUUAUUGUGUUUUUCCUCUCGCAGUGAAAGACUUGGACACAGAGAAGUAUUUCCAUUUGGUGCUGCCUACGGAUGAGCUGGCGGAGCCCAAGAAGUCUCACCGGCAGAGCCAUCGCAAGAAGGUGCUCCCGGAAAUCUACCUGACCCGCCUGCUCUCCACCAAGGGCACGUUGCAGAAGUUUCUGGAUGACCUGUUCAAGGCCAUUCUGAGUAUCCGUGAAGACAAGCCCCCACUGGCUGUCAAGUACUUUUUCGACUUCCUGGAGGAGCAGGCUGAGAAGAGGGGAAUCUCCGACCCCGACACCCUACACAUCUGGAAGACCAACAGCCUUCCUCUCCGGUUCUGGGUGAACAUCCUGAAGAACCCC
RNAcentral lists this small RNA (563 nucleotides) under Pan troglodytes (chimpanzee). Its description in RNAcentral is "retained intron". Lineage: Eukaryota; Metazoa; Chordata; Mammalia; Primates; Hominidae. The record is from RNAcentral.